RNAcentral lists this transfer RNA (104 nucleotides) under Dissoconium aciculare CBS 342.82. Its description in RNAcentral is "tRNA-Phe". It matches the Rfam family "tRNA". Rfam says of the family: Transfer RNA (tRNA) molecules are approximately 80 nucleotides in length. Their secondary structure includes four short double-helical elements and three loops (D, anti-codon, and T loops). Further hydrogen bonds mediate the characteristic L-shaped molecular structure. tRNAs have two regions of fundamental functional importance: the anti-codon, which is responsible for specific mRNA codon recognition, and the 3' end, to which the tRNAs corresponding amino acid is attached (by aminoacyl-tRNA synthetases). tRNAs cope with the degeneracy of the genetic code in two manners: having more than one tRNA (with a specific anti-codon) for a particular amino acid; and 'wobble' base-pairing, i.e. permitting non-standard base-pairing at the 3rd anti-codon position. Lineage: Eukaryota; Fungi; Ascomycota; Dothideomycetes; Mycosphaerellales; Dissoconiaceae. The record is from RNAcentral.
GUCGCUUUAGCUCACUUGGGAGAGCGCCAGACUGAAGUUCACUUCGGUCUCACAGCAUUCUGUGCGGUAUCUGGAGGUACUGUGUUCGAUCCACAGAAGCGACA